GACGAACGCUGGCGGCGUGCUUAACACAUGCAAGUCGAACGGAAAGGCCCUGCUUUUGUGGGGUGCUCGAGUGGCGAACGGGUGAGUAACACGUGAGUAACCUGCCCUUGACUUUGGGAUAACUUCAGGAAACUGGGGCUAAUACCGGAUAGGAGCUCCUGCUGCAUGGUGGGGGUUGGAAAGUUUCGGCGGUUGGGGAUGGACUCGCGGCUUAUCAGCUUGUUGGUGGGGUAGUGGCUUACCAAGGCUUUGACGGGUAGCCGGCCUGAGAGGGUGACCGGCCACAUUGGGACUGAGGUACGGCCCAGACUCCUACGGGAGGCAGCAGGGGGGAAUAUUGCACAGUGGGCGGAAGCCUGAUGCAGCAGCGCCGCGUGCGGGAUGACGGCCUUCGAGUUAUAAACCGCUUUCGCCUGUGACAAGGCGUGAGUGACGGUAAUGGGUAAAGAAGCACCGGCUAACUACGUG
Molecule: ribosomal RNA, 468 nt
Filed under: uncultured bacterium
Lineage: Bacteria
Description: partial 16S ribosomal RNA
Rfam family: Bacterial small subunit ribosomal RNA
Source: RNAcentral